This is a non-coding RNA of Triticum aestivum (bread wheat), 125 nucleotides long. Lineage: Eukaryota; Viridiplantae; Streptophyta; Magnoliopsida; Poales; Poaceae. The record is from Rfam.
AAGGUACUCCCUCCGUCCGGAAAUACUUGUCAGUGAAAUGGAUGUAUCUAGAUGUAUUUUAGUUAUAGAUAAAUCCAUUUUCAUCCAUUUUGAUGACAAGUAUUUCCGGACGGAGGGAGUAGUAA